GAUGAACGCUGGCGGCGUGCCUAAUACAUGCAAGUCGAGCGGUAAGGCCACUUCGGUGGUACACGAGCGGCGGACGGCUGAGUAACGCGUAGGAACGUACCCCAAACUGAGGGAUAAGCACCAGAAAUGGUGUCUAAUACCGCAUGUGCUCUAAGGAGUAAAGCUUCGGCGGUUUGGGAACGGCCUGCGUCUGAUUAGCUUGUUGGUGAGGUAAAAGCUCACCAAGGCGACGAUCAGUAGCUGGUCUGAGAGGAUGAUCAGCCAGACUGGGACUGAGACACGGCCCAGACUCCUACGGGAGGCAGCAGUAGGGAAUUUUCCACAAUGGGCGCAAGCCUGAUGGAGCAACGCCGCGUGCAGGAUGAAGGCCUUCGGGUCGUAAACUGCUUUUCUCUGUGACGAUUAUGACGGUAGCAGAGGAAUAAGGGUCGGCUAACUACGUGCCAGCCGCCGCGGUAA
Molecule: ribosomal RNA, 459 nt
Filed under: uncultured bacterium
Lineage: Bacteria
Description: partial 16S ribosomal RNA
Rfam family: Bacterial small subunit ribosomal RNA
Source: RNAcentral